UACGGAGGGAGCUAGCGUUAUUCGGAAUUACUGGGCGUAAAGCGCACGUAGGCGGCUUUGUAAGUAAGAGGUGAAAGCCCAGAGCUCAACUCUGGAAUUGCCUUUUAGACUGCAUCGCUUGAAUCAUGGAGAGGUCAGUGGAAUUCCGAGUGUAGAGGUGAAAUUCGUAGAUAUUCGGAAGAACACCAGUGGCGAAGGCGGCUCACUGGACUGGUAUUGACGCUGAGGUGCGAAAGCGUGGGGAGCAAACAGG
Molecule: ribosomal RNA, 253 nt
Filed under: uncultured bacterium
Lineage: Bacteria
Description: partial 16S ribosomal RNA
Rfam family: Bacterial small subunit ribosomal RNA
Source: RNAcentral